Molecule: long non-coding RNA, 1491 nt
Filed under: Medicago truncatula (barrel medic)
Lineage: Eukaryota; Viridiplantae; Streptophyta; Magnoliopsida; Fabales; Fabaceae
Description: long non-coding RNA (MTRU_LNC007443)
Source: RNAcentral
CUAUUUCUUUUGUUGAACCGUGUUUCUGUAUCUUUACGCAGUUGGCGAGCAGAUUCGUAGAUGAAAUAAUUAUGUGUCUUGUGAAUGUCCUUCCAUGUAUCAAUUUACAAGCAUGAAAGCUAUCUGAAGAUGUAAUUAAGCAAUUCCUCGCAAUGUAUUGAGUAAUUGUCCUAUCAAUUAUUCUGAGAAUAAAGCUGACAUAAACAACUCUUGAGCAAAAGCAGCCUUGUUACUUCUCUUUUGAACAUCUUCUUCAUGGCCAAUAUCCACUACUUCUGCUCCGUCAGAGCUGGAAACAUAAAACCAUCACCACAAUUUCAGCAUUAAGAAUAACACCUGGUAUAAAUAGAUAAAACCUGGAUAGAUAAAACCUGAUAUGGUUUCUGAUGAAGUAUUGCCAACGAUGGUUGGCGUGCUUACGAGAUCUGAUGGUUUGGACUUCGCCGGCCACCACUGUUUCGAGAUCGUCGGGAGGUUUUUAAGUUUCUGAGUGCGGCCUAGGUUAGUUUUACCAAGGCCCCACGGUGGGCACCAUAUGUACUUGCGGUGAGUACAAUCUAUAAAACUAGGUUUAAUUUGUUUAGGUCAUGCCCUAAGAAUGCUCUCAAGGUUAGUAUUUAUAGUCAUAGAUGGGCCGGAUCAGCCCACUAACUUAGGCGUUUAAGUUAAUUGGAAUUGGAUAAGCAUCAAAGUUUCUAGCAGCUUCUAGAACUUAUUAUUGGUGGUGCCUGUAUAGGAGCCGCCCUAGGCUAUUUCGACCCUUGAUAAGGGCGCUUAUAACUAUCUUAGCCUUUAUGAAGGGCAUUGUGUCCUUCAUCUGGGUUUUCCCGAUUCAAAAUUCGAUCUAGUUAUAUAGUGAUAGCUAAUGGCAAUAAAAUUAGGAUCGAUAAGAAAAAGAGACAAAUUUAAUCGUUUAUGAUUCAUAUCUAAGAAAAAAAUAUGUUUAUAGAUUAUGAAUAACGUAGAACAUUUUGAUACUAAGGAAGAAAUAAUACGUGUGUGUGUGUGUAUAACAAAAAUUAAAUAUAAAUCAAAAUAACAAUUGAUUGCAUACCUUUGGUAUUUCGUUGAUUUGAUUUGUUAUUUGUGAUGUUUUUAAUAAUAACAUCAUCAUUUUCAUCUUCUUCUUCAUCGUUGUCCAACUUUAUUAAAAUCACACGAGAUCGGUAUGACAUACUUGUUCGAUAAAAAAUCAAACACAUAAUAGAUCUAAUUAAGAUAUUAGAUCUACAACAUUUCAUGUCUGGUGUCACCCUUGUCAAAUUAAAUCUGAUUAAUAUAAGAUCUAAUUGGUACAACUCGAUAACCUAGUUAUAAUGUGAACUUGUCAGGGAAGUCACACAAGUAACUACAAAUUCACAAUCACAAUGAGAUGUUGCAAAAAAUCAUAAAACUGAUAGAAUAACUGAGAUCAAAAGAAAGGACAAAUAAAGGAUAUGAAAAAGAAACAAUAAAAGAGAAGUAUAACUAGGGAGAAGACCUAGAGAGAAG